Molecule: ribosomal RNA, 253 nt
Filed under: uncultured bacterium
Lineage: Bacteria
Description: partial 16S ribosomal RNA
Rfam family: Bacterial small subunit ribosomal RNA
Source: RNAcentral
UACGAAGGGGGCUAGCGUUGUUCGGAAUUACUGGGCGUAAAGGGCGCGUAGGCGGUGUGUCAAGUCAGGCGUGAAAGCCCCGGGCUCAACCUGGGAACCGCGCUUGAGACUGGCACGCUCGAGUUCGGGAGAGGAUGGUGGAUUUCCCAGUGUAGAGGUGAAAUUCGUAGAUAUUGGGAAGAACACCGAUGGCGAAGGCAGCCAUCUGGACCGACACUGACGCUGAGGCGCGAAAGCGUGGGGAGCAAACAGG